CAAGAAGAGACCCUAACCGGUCCUCUCAACCCUGCCCAUCGUACCUUUUUUGUUGUUCCCUCGGCGGUGCUCGCGGGCCCGCCGGCGGGAAGACCAAACAAACCCUUUGCAAACAAGCAUAUCGAAUCUCUGAUCAAGCAUGAAUUGUCA
Molecule: unclassified non-coding RNA, 150 nt
Filed under: soil metagenome
Description: partial internal transcribed spacer 1
Source: RNAcentral